ACGAACGCUGGCGGCGUGCUUAACACAUGCAAGUCGAACGGACUCCAUUCAGUAGCAAUACUGAGGAAGAGUUAGUGGCGAACGGGUGAGUAACACGUGAGAAACCUAUCCUGGUCUCUGGGAUAACAGUCGGAAACAACUGCUAAUACCGGAUGCCGUCGGAGCGUCGCAUGGCGCGCUGACGAAAGGGUUACUGGAUCAGGAGGGUCUCGCGGCCUAUCAGCUAGUUGGUGGGGUAAAGGCCUACCAAGGCAUCGACGGGUAGCUGGUCUGAGAGGAUGAUCAGCCACACUGGGACUGAGACACGGCCCAGACUCCUACGGGAGGCAGCAGUGGGGAAUCUUGCGCAAUGGGCGAAAGCCUGACGCAGCAACGCCGCGUGCGGGAAGAAGGCCUUCGGGUUGUAAACCGCUUUCAGAAGGAACGAAACUGACGGUACUUUCAGAAGAAGGUGCGGCCAACUACGU
Molecule: ribosomal RNA, 467 nt
Filed under: uncultured bacterium
Lineage: Bacteria
Description: bacterial SSU rRNA
Rfam family: Bacterial small subunit ribosomal RNA
Source: RNAcentral